AUUGAACGCUGGCGGCAGGCCUAACACAUGCAAGUCGAACGGUAACAGGAAGCAGCUUGCUGCUUCGCUGACGAGUGGCGGACGGGUGAGUAAUGUCUGGGAAACUGCCUGAUGGAGGGGGAUAACUACUGGAAACGGUAGCUAAUACCGCAUAACGUCGCAAGACCAAAGAGGGGGACCUUAGGGCCUCUUGCCAUCGGAUGUGCCCAGAUGGGAUUAGCUAGUAGGUGGGGUAACGGCUCACCUAGGCGACGAUCCCUAGCUGGUCUGAGAGGAUGACAGGCCGCACUGGAACAGAGACACGGUCGAGACUCCGACGGGAGGCAGCAGUGGGUGUGAUUGCACAAUGGGCGCAAGCCGGAUGGAGCCAUGCGGGGUGGAGGAAGAAGGACUGCGGGUUGGAAAGUACUUUCAGCGGGGAGGAAGGGAGUAAAGCUACUACCUUUGCUCAAUGACGUUACCCGAAGAAGAAGCACCGGCUAACUCCGUG
This 490-nucleotide ribosomal RNA is filed under the name uncultured bacterium. Its description in RNAcentral is "partial 16S ribosomal RNA". It matches the Rfam family "Bacterial small subunit ribosomal RNA", at positions 29 to 507 of the family's 1533-position model. The record is from RNAcentral.